Perca fluviatilis (European perch) is the source of this 1001-nucleotide long non-coding RNA. RefSeq lists it as uncharacterized. The transcript has 2 exons. The record is from RefSeq and is a predicted model, not a curated record. NCBI's taxonomy places the organism in Eukaryota, Metazoa, Chordata, Actinopteri, Perciformes, Percidae.
ACAGUGCAGAUGUCAUGGUAGUCAUGACAGCUGUUGCUGGCGUUGCAGCUGUGGUCACAUCUGCAGCCGGGGAUCUGGUCGUCAUAGGGCUCGUAGCAUCGAUGCCUGCAGGACGUGUGGGGGACGACUGGAAGAGGAAGACGGGACAACACGGGUUAUUUUAUCUGGUUAUUUUGGCAGCUCUCCUACAGAUCAUCCACAUGUGAAUGGCGGCCGUGGAUACAAACUUUACUCUGACCGACAAUGAUGACCUGUGACAUGUGACACCACCCCGUUUCCAUUGGCUCCCGGAGCCCCACAACACGCCUUGAGCUACAAAUUGGCCCGUCCAUGUCCACCACCGCCUCGGUGAGCAGCGCGAGGUGCACCGGGCUGCGCGUUGUGCGCUGCGCCUUGAUUCACGACACGGCGUCAUCAUGUUUGGCUGCGUAAGCUCGAGGCUUUUUCCUACACUCCUAAAAAAUGGCCAAACCAAAUGAAAACUGUCCUACAGGUUAACUUCCACAGUGGAAAGCGUCAAUCAGCUUUUGACUCAGCACACUCGUGUGAUUAUUAUAAGCAGAAAAGGAAGAGCUCUUGAUGAUAAGAAUAACAAAGUGUGAAAUCAACAAAAAAAAAUGCUGCUUAGUCAUCAGAAAAUGUAUGCAAAGCCAAAACCUCAGGACUUUUGUCAUAAACAGAAUGACUGUUCCUCGUGUGAGUCAGCACUGUCUGUGCCAAUUAAAGUCACAGGAGUGAGCAGACCACCGGAUACAAAUGGUCUACUGAGCUUUGAGGUGAAUGUAACCCCCCCCCCACCCCCCCCAGGGUAGGCGCUGCCUUGUCCGAUACUGUGCUUACUAAAUAGUUGCUGACCCACAUGCAUGGCUGAUGACUAAGCACGUCACUCACCUCUCUGCUCUUAUGACAAACCAGACUGCAUGAUGAGAAAAGAGGAUGUGGGUCUUGAGAAUGGUAUGAAAAAUAGAAAAUAAAAUGCAAUCAAAUGCAGAGGUAAAAAA